This 492-nucleotide ribosomal RNA is filed under the name uncultured bacterium. Its description in RNAcentral is "partial 16S ribosomal RNA". It matches the Rfam family "Bacterial small subunit ribosomal RNA", at positions 29 to 507 of the family's 1533-position model. The record is from RNAcentral.
AGUGAACGCUGGCGGUAGGCCUAACACAUGCAAGUCGAACGGCAGCACAGUAAUAGCUUGCUCUUCCGGGUGGCGAGUGGCGGGCGGGACAGGAAUACAUCCGACUCUACUUUUUCGUGGGGGAUCACGAAGGGAAACCUACGCCAAUACAGCAUACGACCUACGGGGGAAAGCAUGGGAACUUCGGGCCUGGCGCGAUUGGAUGAGCGGAUGUCGGAUUAGCUAGUUGGCGGGGUAAAGGCCAACCAAGGCGAGGAUCCGCAGCUGGUCUGAGAGGAGGAUCAGCCACACUGGAACGUGGACACGGUCCAUACUACUACGGGACGCAGCAGUGUGGUAUAGUGGACAAUGGGCGCAAGUCUUGUCCAGCCAUCCCGCGUCUGUUAAGAAGGCCUUCGGGUUGUAAAGCCCUUUUGUUGGGUAAGAACAGCAGCCGGUUAAUACCACGCUGUUCUGACGGUACCCAGAGAAGAAGCACCGGCUAACUUCGUG